GACCGCUCCGGGGGGGCACGAGGUUAGAGCGUUCGCCUCGGAUGCGAGAGGGCGCGGAUUCGAACCCCGGCCGAGUCA
Non-coding RNA from Potamilus streckersoni, 78 nucleotides. The record is from the annotation of a GenBank genome assembly. NCBI's taxonomy places the organism in Eukaryota, Metazoa, Mollusca, Bivalvia, Unionida, Unionidae.